Molecule: long non-coding RNA, 509 nt
Filed under: Malus domestica (apple)
Lineage: Eukaryota; Viridiplantae; Streptophyta; Magnoliopsida; Rosales; Rosaceae
Description: long non-coding RNA (MDOM_LNC011429)
Source: RNAcentral
UUGUGCCAUUCCAGGCCGCUCUCCUCGUUGCAUCUCUCUUUUAGAACGGGACAAUUACAAAUGUCUAUUGUUUUUAAUUUGGUGAGGCAUUUCAUAGCUUCAGCUGUAGGAAAAUAAUUCAGAUUCAUGCAUCUGUCUAUACAUAGGGACUGAAGAGAUGCAAAGUUCCCCAAAGUUCCCCAACCACUCGGGAGAUAAGAAAAGGUUUAGCUUCUAUCUGAUUUCAAUUAUACAAUUGACCGCUGUGGUUGAAUAUAAUCAUAUUAUCAUUAAAUCCCAAUAAAAACAAUAACUCUGAGAACUAAAGUUUUGAAGAAAAGGGGUUGUAUCACUGUUCAUCAAGUUUACAAAUCCAGGAGAUAAACAAUUUACAAUUUAACACAAUGGGUUUUAUUUAUUGCUGAUUAAUAGAACUCUACCAAAUUCAAUAACACAAUAAUCAAAAUUCAGUUCCAAAAAUAACAAUAGUUUAGAGAAUUGAAGAAUUGAAGAAAAGGUGUUGUACUUGU